AUUAAGGUGUCUGAUUUAAGUAGUAAACUGUAAAUUUAUUUAAGGACUUACUAAUAGUCUUCUUAAUA
RNAcentral lists this transfer RNA (68 nucleotides) under Seriana bacilla. RNAcentral's name for it is "tRNA-Tyr". The record is from RNAcentral. RNAcentral also lists the same sequence under 1 other name. Lineage: Eukaryota; Metazoa; Arthropoda; Insecta; Hemiptera; Cicadellidae.